UUCUUAUAUAGAGAGACAGAGGGACUGGCCCAAUGAAGUCUCGGCAGCAGGCUCAAGAUGAGUGCUGUGCCAAAUCCAGCAAGCGAAAACGCUUGAAAGAUGAGAA
RNAcentral lists this non-coding RNA (106 nucleotides) under Metabacillus litoralis. RNAcentral's name for it is "Bacillus litoralis SAM-I sequence". It matches the Rfam family "SAM riboswitch aptamer (S box leader)". From Rfam's summary of the family: The SAM riboswitch is found upstream of a number of genes which code for proteins involved in methionine or cysteine biosynthesis in Gram-positive bacteria. The SAM riboswitch acts at the level of transcription termination control. Lineage: Bacteria; Bacillati; Bacillota; Bacilli; Caryophanales; Bacillaceae. The record is from Rfam by way of RNAcentral.